CAAUUUUUUUCUUCAUUGGUGGUAGUGUAUAUAUCCUGGCAGCUCCCGGAGCUAGAAAUAAAAACAGGUGAGUGCAAAAUAUGCAAGAUAUGCAAGAAAACUCGACAGAAGACACAAGACAGAGCUUUUCCAAGAUAAUGAAGGUCUUCACUGAUAUAUGAAGAACUAAUGGCAAUAAUAAUAAUAAUAAUGCAAAAAAAUAAAGAC
Molecule: non-coding RNA, 207 nt
Organism: Pelobates cultripes (western spadefoot toad)
Lineage: Eukaryota; Metazoa; Chordata; Amphibia; Anura; Pelobatidae
Source: the annotation of a GenBank genome assembly